AUUGCCUCUUAACUUCAUUGAACAUGAAUUGAGUCUCGCUCAUGGAACUCCCAUUGAUUGGGCUUAUUUUUGCCGUGAAGUAGCGGAGGAUAUAGUAAUUAACAAUUCAGAGAAAAUUGGAGGAGUUGGUGUAGUAGUAGAAAUUGAUGAAUCUAAAUUUGGAAAAAGGAAAUAUAAUCGUGGAAAAAGAGUUGAUGGUGUUUGGGUUUUUGGUGGAGUGGAAAGAGGAACAGGAAGGUGUUUUCUAGUGGUUGUUCAAAAUCGCACUGCAACCACUUUGCUAGCUGUCAUUAAA
Molecule: long non-coding RNA, 295 nt
Organism: Daphnia pulex (common water flea)
Lineage: Eukaryota; Metazoa; Arthropoda; Branchiopoda; Diplostraca; Daphniidae
Exons: 3
Source: RefSeq, a predicted model, not a curated record